CCUGACCCCAUGCCGAACUCAGAAGUGAAACGCCGUAGCGCCGAUGGUAGUGUGGGGUCUCCCCAUGCGAGAGUAGGGAACUGCCAGGC
Molecule: ribosomal RNA, 89 nt
Filed under: Citrobacter freundii
Lineage: Bacteria; Pseudomonadati; Pseudomonadota; Gammaproteobacteria; Enterobacterales; Enterobacteriaceae
Also listed under: 120 other names
Source: RNAcentral